UCCGUAGGUGAACCUGCGGAAGGAUCAUUAAUGGUGCUUGCAGAAAUGCUUGCACGGCGGCGGCCUUAAAACGCGCCAAAUGGCACCCUUUGUUUACGAAUACCGUUCGUUUCCUCGGUGGGCUUGCCUGCCAUGAGGACCAACAAAAACCUUUGUAGUAGCAGUAUCUUCAGUAAAAACAAAUAUUAAAACUUUCAACAACGGAUCUCUUGGUUCUGGCAUCGAUGAAGAACGCAGCGAAAUGCGAUAAGUAGUGUGAAUUGCAGAAUUCAGUGAAUCAUCGAAUCUUUGAACGCACAUUGCGCCCUUCGGUAUUCCGUUGGGCAUGCCUGUUCGAGCGUCAUUUAAUCAUUCAAGCUCUGCUUGGUGUUGGGUGUUUGUUCCGCCUCAGCGCGUGGACUCGCCUUAAAUUCAUUGGCAGCCGGUAUGUUGGCUUCGUGCGCAGCACAUUGCGUCGCGAUUCUGGCAGGCCUCCUCCCAUUAAGCUUCUUUUAAGUUUGACCUCGGAUCAGGUAGGGAUACCCGCUGAACUUAAGCAUAUCAAUAAGCGGAGGAAAAGAAACCAACAGGGAUUGCCCCAGUAACGGCGAGUGAAGCGGCAAUAGCUCAAAUUUGAAAUCUGGCUCUUUCAGGGUCCGAGUUGUAAUUUGCAGAGGGCGCUUUGGCGUCGGCAGCAGCCUAAGUUCCUUGGAACAGGUCAUCAUAGAGGGUGAGAAUCCCGUAUGUGGCUGCUUGUCUUCGCCGUGUAAAGCCCCUUCGAUGAGUCGAGUUGUUUGGGAAUGCAGCUCUAAAUGGGAGGUAAAUUUCUUCUAAAGCUAAAUAUUGGCCAGAGACCGAUAGCGCACAAGUAGAGUGAUCGAAAGAUGAAAAGCACUUUGGAAAGAGAGUCAAAAAGCACGUGAAAUUGUUGAAAGGGAAACGCUUGAAGU
This 929-nucleotide small RNA is filed under the name uncultured fungus. Its description in RNAcentral is "eukaryotic LSU rRNA". The stretch from base 499 to 929 matches the Rfam family "Eukaryotic large subunit ribosomal RNA", at positions 1 to 429 of the family's 3401-position model. Lineage: Eukaryota; Fungi. The record is from RNAcentral.